CUGGGUGCAUCUGGAAGAUUCAGUGACCGCAGAACACUUGCGUUAUUACCAACACCGUCAGCUUCGCCGUCUUGAUGGGACGAUGCAGAGCUCAGCCUAAAGGUCCUCAUGGGCCAUGGAAAGAAAGAUUGAAGACAUCUCUGAGUUCUUCUCAGAAGCGAUUUUUAAAUUAAUGAAAACAGCCAUGCAAAGAGGAUAAACAAUCCUUGGGAAAGAGAAGACUGUUCUAAAAUGUACUGUCGCUUCUUUCUCCUGGAACAGCUCUUACCUAGCAAAGGGAAAACUACCAGAAGUUAAAGUCCCUUAUGAUGGUACAUUGGCUCAAGAGAGGAUUUUUCAGAACCUAUGUUGGCAGGAAGAACCCAAGAUUCUCCAAAGGAAGUUCUUCAUUGUAACUGCACUGAUUUUGCUUCACAAUGUCUGUCAGAGUUCCCUUCAGCACCGUAGAUAAAUCUACACUGAAACCUUUCAAAGCCUCUUGAAAACAGACCAAUGAGUGUUACAUUAUCUCAACUUUCUGCCUCCCAUGGAAGCUGCUAACAUAAGCAAAAAUGGACAGGGAGCAACUGCUAUAUAAAUUAUCUUUCCAGGCUGAUAUCAUC
RNAcentral lists this long non-coding RNA (602 nucleotides) under Taeniopygia guttata (zebra finch). RNAcentral describes it as "lncRNA (ENSTGUG00000024249.1)". Lineage: Eukaryota; Metazoa; Chordata; Aves; Passeriformes; Estrildidae. The record is from RNAcentral.